GUGCGAUGACGAUAACUGCGCCUAAUGUGAAGGAAGGGUCCCUCACUUAGUCCGACUUCCGGACGAAAAAACAGGCGCUGCAGAGCAC
Molecule: small nucleolar RNA, 88 nt
Organism: Cornus florida
Lineage: Eukaryota; Viridiplantae; Streptophyta; Magnoliopsida; Cornales; Cornaceae
Product: small nucleolar RNA snoR114
Exons: 1
Source: RefSeq, a predicted model, not a curated record